RNAcentral lists this ribosomal RNA (310 nucleotides) under uncultured bacterium. RNAcentral's name for it is "partial 16S ribosomal RNA". It matches the Rfam family "Bacterial small subunit ribosomal RNA", at positions 503 to 807 of the family's 1533-position model. The record is from RNAcentral.
AAGAGACAGCAGCCGCCGCGGUAAUACAGAGGGUGCGAGCGUUAAUCGGAUUUACUGGGCGUAAAGCGUGCGUAGGCGGCUUUUUAAGUCGGAUGUGAAAUCCCUGAGCUUAACUUAGGAAUUGCAUUCGAUACUGGGAAGCUAGAGUAUGGGAGAGGAUGGUAGAAUUCCAGGUGUAGCGGUGAAAUGCGUAGAGAUCUGGAGGAAUACCGAUGGCGAAGGCAGCCAUCUGGCCUAAUACUGACGCUGAGGUACGAAAGCAUGGGGAGCAAACAGGAUUAGAUACCCCGGUAGUCCCUGUCUCUUAUAC